RNAcentral lists this ribosomal RNA (253 nucleotides) under uncultured bacterium. RNAcentral describes it as "partial 16S ribosomal RNA". It matches the Rfam family "Bacterial small subunit ribosomal RNA", at positions 524 to 776 of the family's 1533-position model. The record is from RNAcentral.
UACGUAGGGGGCUAGCGUUGUCCGGAAUCAUUGGGCGUAAAGCGCGUGUAGGCGGUCCGGUAAGUCCGCUGUGAAAGUCGGGGGCUCAACCCUCGAAUGCCGGUGGAUACUGUCGGGCUAGAGUGCGGAGGAGGCGAGUGGAAUUCCACGUGUAGCGGUGAAAUGCGUAGAGAUGUGGAGGAACACCGAUGGCGAAGGCAGCCUCCUGGGCCAACACUGACGCUCAUGCACGAAAGCGUGGGGAGCAAACAGG